GUUGUCAUGGCCUAGUGGUUAAGGCGAUAGACUAGAAAUCUAUUGGGAUCAUCCCGGGCAGGUUUGAAUCCUGCUAACAACA
Molecule: non-coding RNA, 82 nt
Organism: Dreissena polymorpha
Lineage: Eukaryota; Metazoa; Mollusca; Bivalvia; Myida; Dreissenidae
Source: the annotation of a RefSeq genome assembly